Molecule: ribosomal RNA, 460 nt
Filed under: uncultured bacterium
Lineage: Bacteria
Description: partial 16S ribosomal RNA
Rfam family: Bacterial small subunit ribosomal RNA
Source: RNAcentral
CCUACGGGUGGCAGCAGUGAGGAAUAUUGGUCAAUGGGCGGGAGCCUGAACCAGCAAAGUCGCGUGAAGGAAGAAGGUACUUAGUAUUGUAAACUUCUUUUGUCGGGGAACAAAGGCGGAGACGCGUCUCCGGAUGAGUGUACCCGCAGAAAAAGCAUCGGCUAACUCCGUGCCAGCAGCCGCGGUAAUACGGAGGAUGAGAGCGUUAUCCGGAGUUAUUGGGUUGAAAGGGUGCGUAGGCGGUCGGGUAAGUUAGAGGUGAAAUCCCGAGGCUCAACUUCGGAAUUGCCUCUGAUGCUGUUCGGCUAGAGCGUAGGUGCGGUAGGCGGAAUGUAUGGUGUAGCGGUGAAAUGCUUAGAGAUCAUACAGAACACCGAUGGCGAAGGCAGCUUACCAAGCUACUUCUGACGUUGAGGCACGAAAGCGUGGGGAGCAAACAGGAUUAGAUACCCGUGUAGUC